UACGUAGGGUGCGAGCGUUGUCCGGAAUUAUUGGGCGUAAAGAGCUCGUAGGCGGUUUGUCGCGUCUGCCGUGAAAGUCCGGGGCUCAACUCCGGAUCUGCGGUGGGUACGGGCAGACUAGAGUGAUGUAGGGGAGACUGGAAUUCAUGGUGUAGCGGUGAAAUGCGCAGAUAUCAGGAGGAACACCGAUGGCGAAGGCAGGUCUCUGGGCCAUAACUGACGCUGAGAAGCGAAAGCAUGGGGAGCGAACAGG
Molecule: ribosomal RNA, 253 nt
Filed under: uncultured bacterium
Lineage: Bacteria
Description: partial 16S ribosomal RNA
Rfam family: Bacterial small subunit ribosomal RNA
Source: RNAcentral